AGCCGAAACCUUCAGUGUUCGAUCGAAUUGAAAAUAAGAAUGCCAGAGUUUCAGUGUUUAAAAGGUUAAAAGGAGAAUCCUCCCCAAUAGUUGAUGUAAAAGGUAAAGUUUCCGUCUUCCAAAGAUUAAGCGAAGAUUCUUCUUUUUCUACCCAAAUUGAUAAGAAUGCACAAGCUUCCCAAACGUCAUCCCAAAGACAAUCC
RNAcentral lists this long non-coding RNA (203 nucleotides) under Olea europaea (common olive). Its description in RNAcentral is "long non-coding RNA (OEUR_LNC001199)". Lineage: Eukaryota; Viridiplantae; Streptophyta; Magnoliopsida; Lamiales; Oleaceae. The record is from RNAcentral.